GAGGGUAUAGCUCAGUGGUAGAGCACAUGCUUAGCAUGCAUGAGGUCCUGGGUUCAAGCCCCAGUACUUCCA
RNAcentral lists this transfer RNA (72 nucleotides) under Camelus bactrianus (Bactrian camel). It matches the Rfam family "tRNA". Rfam says of the family: Transfer RNA (tRNA) molecules are approximately 80 nucleotides in length. Lineage: Eukaryota; Metazoa; Chordata; Mammalia; Artiodactyla; Camelidae. RNAcentral also lists the same sequence under 2 other names. The record is from Rfam by way of RNAcentral.